This 78-nucleotide transfer RNA is filed under the name candidate division TA06 bacterium. RNAcentral describes it as "tRNA-Trp". It matches the Rfam family "tRNA". From Rfam's summary of the family: Transfer RNA (tRNA) molecules are approximately 80 nucleotides in length. The record is from RNAcentral.
AGGCCUGUAGCCCUAACUGGAUAGAGCGCCGGACUCCAAAUCCGGAGGAUGGGGGUUCGAGCCCCUCCAGGCCUGCCA